UAGGGAAUCUUCCGCAAUGGGCGAAAGCCUGACGGAGCAACGCCGCGUGAGUGAUGAAGGUCUUCGGAUCGUAAAACUCUGUUAUUAGGGAAGAACAAAUGUGUAAGUAACUAUGCACAUCUUGACGGUACCUAAUCAGAAAGCCACGGCUAACUACGUGCCAGCAGCCGCGGUAAUACGUAGGUGGCAAGCGUUAUCCGGAAUUAUUGGGCGUAAAGCGCGCGUAGGCGGUUUUUUAAGUCUGAUGUGAAAGCCCACGGCUCAACCGUGGAGGGUCAUUGGAAACUGUUUAACUUGAGUGCAGAAGGGGAGAGUGGAAUUCCAUGUGUAGCGGUGAAAUGCGUAGAUAUAUGGAGGAACACCGGUGGCGAAAGCGGCUCUCUGGUCUGUAACUGACGCUGAGGCUCGAAAGCGUGGGGAGCGAACAGG
RNAcentral lists this ribosomal RNA (429 nucleotides) under Bacteroidota bacterium. RNAcentral describes it as "Bacteroidetes bacterium partial 16S ribosomal RNA". It matches the Rfam family "Bacterial small subunit ribosomal RNA", at positions 355 to 776 of the family's 1533-position model. Lineage: Bacteria; Pseudomonadati; Bacteroidota. The record is from RNAcentral.